RNAcentral lists this ribosomal RNA (253 nucleotides) under uncultured bacterium. RNAcentral describes it as "partial 16S ribosomal RNA". It matches the Rfam family "Bacterial small subunit ribosomal RNA", at positions 524 to 776 of the family's 1533-position model. The record is from RNAcentral.
UACGAGUGCUCCAAGCGUUAUCCGGAAUUACUGGGCGUAAAGGGUGUGUAGGUGGUUUUGUUAGUCUUUUGUUAAAUUUCCCGGCUCAACCGGGAACCUGCAAGGGAAACGGCAAAUCUAGAGGAUAGGAGAGGUCGACAGAACUCAUGGUGUAGGGGUGAAAUCCGUUGAUAUCAUGGGGAAUACCAAAUGCGAAGGCAGUCGACUGGCCUACUCCUGACACUGAAACACGAAAGCGUGGGUAGCGAAUGGG